UAAACAUAGGGACAACACCGUUCUGCAAGUUCCCCGUCUCAUGAGCCUAUGGAAACAAGAGGAGGAAGAGUGUUAGAACUGUACAUUCAUCAAGCAAAGGCUGGAUAAUAUCGGGCUAGAGAACACAUGAACGUCGUGCUGCACAACCUGCUGGGGUUGCGAUCGAGCACAAUGACGAGGAGAUGGCGGAGCCACAUCAAGAACCGGUCAUGCCUGCUGAGUACACUCAAGCAGAUAUGGAUGACUACAUCUCCAGGACAUUCUACUGAGUAACACAUCAAAACCCUUUGUAAAUACCGCUUUUGUUUUUGUUUCUGUGUUUAUCUUGAAUUCUUUCACAAAUUUUGAUUACACAAGGGACUGUGUAAUUUAAGUUUGGGGGAGGGUUCAAGACGUAUUUGACUUGUUUUUUGUGAAUAUCAUUUGAGUCUGCAUAUCAUCUAAGUCAUAGAAAAAAACAAAAAAAAUUUGAAAUUUUUUGAAAAUGAAUUCCUCAAAAACAGAAUGAUCAUUUAGUUGCAUUACAUUUAGAAUCGAGUCUAGAGUUUUUCAUAUAGGAUUGUUGCCUAUGCAUAGGGGAUAAUGAGGAAAUAGCCUUGUAAGCAUGAUGAUUCACUAAAAUGAGUUAUUAGUUCUCUGAGGCAUUUGAAUGACUUUGAAGUAAAACCGCACCAUGUUCUAUAGAAACCACUCGAUGCAUGUCAUGACACCUUUCCCUGUCAAUUUGAACUUGAAUCUGACUUAUAAUUAUCAUGUUUGCAUCGUUUUUGAACUCGUGGAUAGAAUACAUAUUUGGAUUUUCUUUCACUUAUUCACCACUCUUGUUAAUCCAAGUAGCUGCUUCUAUUAUUAGAGUAGUUCCCCCACCCUUAACCAACCCUUCUUUCAAGCCAUGUUAUUUUGUGAGAGCAUGUGAGGCCUAUUUUCAGGAUUGAGCUUGGUAGAACGUGUUAGGUUUGAGUCGACAAGAGUAGUAUCUCAUGUAGUUCCAAUCCGCAUUUUCGGACUUGGUAGGACUAGGUGGGAACUUAUUUGGGGAUUGAGAUUGAGUGUGAAAAGAAAAAGAAAGAAAAAAAAUGGGUUAGAGUCUUUAGGAGAAGGAAGCUGAAAAUCAUAUUGUGGUCUAGUGAAUGUAUGGGAAGCAUAGAAUUGUUAAGAUAUGCUCUAAAAAAUAGAUGGCAACAAAAACAGAAAAAGAAAAA
Molecule: small RNA, 1202 nt
Filed under: Arabidopsis thaliana (thale cress)
Lineage: Eukaryota; Viridiplantae; Streptophyta; Magnoliopsida; Brassicales; Brassicaceae
Description: ATSL032930
Source: RNAcentral